Molecule: ribosomal RNA, 253 nt
Filed under: uncultured bacterium
Lineage: Bacteria
Description: partial 16S ribosomal RNA
Rfam family: Bacterial small subunit ribosomal RNA
Source: RNAcentral
UACGUAGGCAGCAAGCGUUGUUCGGAAUUACUGGGCGUAAAGAGUGUGUAGGCGGUGCUCUAAGUCUGUUGUGAAAUCUCCCGGCUUAACCGGGAGGGUGCGGCGGAAACUGGAGUGCUUGAGGGUGGGAGAGGUAAGCGGAAUUCCUGGUGUAGCGGUGAAAUGCGUAGAUAUCAGGAGGAACACCGGUGGUGUAGACGGCUUUCUGGACCGUAACUGACGCUGAGACACGAAAGCGUGGGUAGCAAACAGG